RNAcentral lists this transfer RNA (65 nucleotides) under Upogebia major. RNAcentral describes it as "tRNA-Leu". It matches the Rfam family "tRNA". From Rfam's summary of the family: Transfer RNA (tRNA) molecules are approximately 80 nucleotides in length. Their secondary structure includes four short double-helical elements and three loops (D, anti-codon, and T loops). The record is from RNAcentral. Lineage: Eukaryota; Metazoa; Arthropoda; Malacostraca; Decapoda; Upogebiidae.
ACUAAAAUAGCAAAAAUAAUGCGUAGGAUUUAGGUUCCUAAGAUGAAAGAUCUUUUCUUUUAGUA